Amphiprion ocellaris (clown anemonefish) is the source of this 3174-nucleotide long non-coding RNA. The record is from Ensembl. Lineage: Eukaryota; Metazoa; Chordata; Actinopteri; Pomacentridae.
CGGGAUCUGCAGCGACUUUGCGCAUGCGCGAUUCAUCUGCUGUCUGUACACGGAGCGAUGUGGGUCUGCUCUAAUCAGUGGGACUGCUGUGUAUAUGUCUAUGUGCUGCAGGUUACUGGACUGACCGCCUGUGUUUUGUGAAGGGGAGGAGCUCACAGCAGCAUCUGCUGCUCGUUGAGGACAGUAACUGCAGAACGAUCCGAGCUUUCAUUUCAGAGUCUCCAAAACACCAGAAAAAGUCGCUAGAUUUGUCACUAGUUGCUUUUGUCAAAAAAAAAAAAAAAAAAAAAAACGUGGCCUGGAGGUUUUGGAAAGUCGCUAAGUUGCAACACUGGCAUGUUCGUGCAGAGCUCUCCUCUGUUCCUUGUCAAGCUCAGUUUGUUUGCCAGCUCCGAGAAAAACCAGUUUCUGUGUUUUCAAGCUGUUCAGCAUCAACAGAUCGUGAAGAGACAGAAGCAGAAUUAUUCCAUCAUGAAUGUUUAAUUCUGUCAUGGAGUCCUGGACCAGGUUUAUUCUCCUUCUCCUCGUGAUCAGAUUAUCUGAUGCUGAAGAAGAGCAGAAUAAUCUGACAGGAACUGAGGGAGGAAACAUCACUCUGCCUGAUCCUGUACUGGAGAGAGGAUAUCUGUUAUAUGAAGGAAAUGUUAUUGCUCAGGUGAUAAACAGAGUACUCAUCAUAGAUGAUGGCAUUUAUAUUAGCAGACUUCACUGGAACAAUAACUCUGGACUCUUCACAAUCACAGACCUGCAGAAGAGAGACUCUGGGAUUUAUAAAAUUGACUCUAAAAAAGGAGUAAUUUCUACUAAAUCUAUUUAUAGCCUCACAGUUUACGACUCUGUAGCGCUUCCUGCUGUCCAAACACUGAGUGUGAGCUCUGACAGCUGCUAUCUGCUGUGUGCUGUGGACAAAGCUGCAGAGAUCACACUGUGGUGGUACAAAGAUGAGGAGGUGGUGAACCAGAGCAGCUCUGCUGGACCUCUGCCUCUCACUGUGACCAAGCAGGACCUCAGCUCCUCUUACAGAUGUGUGGCUGGAAACCCUGCAGAAGAAAGGACUCUUCUAGUGGAUCUUCAGACGUUCUGUGGAGAGAACUUCACUGCAGUUCAGAACAACACAGAAUCAAGACAUCAUUGGAUCAUAAUAGCAGUCUCCAUUGGAUGUGUUGCACUUGCAAUUGUUCCACUCGCAUUUUUAAUCAAGUGGAAGUGCUUCAAGAGAAACGAGUGGACAGCCACAGAAAGACAAGGCAGAUCCUGAGGGCACAAAGUCAGACGCGGAGUACACUGAAGUAAACAUCUGUCCUGACAGACGCAGUCAGGGAGGAAAUUUACCGGAUUCACCAGGCUCUGUGGAUCGCUCCAAUCUGACGACAGUUUAUGACAAACUGGAGGCUCAUCGGAUGGUGCUGCCAGACUCGGAUGGUAACGUUUGACAGCAGAAAACAGAUUUCUACCAUUAUUGUGCAGCUGACUGAAACCAAAGAUGAAGGAAAAUGUACAGACCAUAAUCGACCAGUACUAUUUGUAGAUAACCAAAAAUACAACUGUCCUGUACCCAUUUCAAUAUUUGCUAUUUAUUUUGUUCUUGUGAUUGUAUUAACUUCUUGCACUGCUUUGUUACUGUCCAUUGUUGCAUUUCAUCUGUUCUCAGAAGGUCUUCACAUUUCAUCCUUGGUGUUAAUAAAGAUGCUCUGUAUGGAGACAUGGUGUUUACUGUCUUCUGUGGUUCAGACAUUCCUCCCUCAUUCAGUAACACAUUCUCUAGAUGCUGCAUCACAGCUGGCAGUAAGUCCUUGUAUAGAAAUAGUUCAAACAUGAGCAGGACAGUGUUGUCAUUCUGAAAUACUGUCUCUGCAGAACCUCCCUGGUUAGAAGAAGAACCGACAGUAGCUCUGCAUCGUGUUGUCUCUUAGAUCCGUGAGUUCUCUACCAGAGGAACCACAACAACCUCCAUCAGUACAAUGCAGCUCAUUUACAACUAAUUCAACACAAAGUAGGAAGUGAGUCACCACAACCUGCCCCCAGGACAGCUCUGAUUGGUCGAGGCCUGGAGUCCUCAGACCUCUGAAGACGUCCUGUGGUUUCAGGCUCCAAGACCUUCACAGCAGAACCUUUCAGGUCUGGAAGUUUCUGGAAUCUGAAGGCUGAGUCGACACUUGGUUGGACACUCUCGGUUGUGUUCCUCUAACCAUCAGUAGAUCCAUCUGGGAAUGAAGCUGCCAUGAAGGUGGUGAAAGGAACGUCCACAUGAAUGCAGGACUUCAUGUUCCCCAGCAGAACAUCACCUCCUUCCAUCCUGCUGCAUCUCCUCUGCAGGUAUACGACACACCUGGACUUCGAUGUGAUGGAGAAGGAAACUCCUCAGAGCAGGACACCUUCUUCCAUCUGUCCAUGGUCCAGCUGUGAUGCUGUAGCAGCUUCCAGUGGUGGACAGGAGUCAGCAUGGACUCAAUCUGAGAUGUUCUGAGAUGUUCUGAUCAGCAGCUUGGAGGUUUUCAGCAGCUCUUCUAUAGGAUCAGACCUCCUGCAUGAGGGAUCCUCUGGUGUCCACGUCUCUGGUUCUCUGGUUCUCCUUCUCUUUACACUUUUAAUAACCGCUGUAGAACUCUUGCUGUUCUGGAGAUGUUCUGAUCCAGUUUGUUAAAGUCUCUCAGAUCUUCCAAUGAACCAACUUCCAGAACUGAGCCUUUAUGAGGAGAUGAUCAUUGAGCUGGUUUAAUGUUAAUGUUUUUAAACUCAGGGCUGUAAUGACAUUUUCAGAUUCCAUUUGUUUUAGAUUCUUCAUCUGUUUUGUUUUUCAUUUUUAUUAAAAGGUAAUUCAGUAAAAUUAUCAGUAUUCUCUCAUAUGUUUUGUAUAUCAGAAUCCUAGAGGAUCAUUAGAAGCUGGUGAUGAGGUUGAAGAGUCCAACAUGACAACAAUAAAAGAACUAGAGAAGCUGAAACUUCUCCAACAUUUCUGGGUGAGUUCAUCUCAUUUUCACAUCAGGAGGACUUGGGCGUCGUCACAGCUGCAAACCAAGAAUUACGUCAGUAAUGUUUCAGACUGCUGUAAAUCUGGGUGUUUCUCGUAUAAAAUGUGGGUUAAAACUAAACGUCAUCCUGAAACCUUCAGUUUGAUUCCAUCUGAUUCAGAAGCUGCUCGUCUUUUCAACUUUAGGGACCAGGAAUGCAAAC